This 460-nucleotide ribosomal RNA is filed under the name uncultured bacterium. RNAcentral describes it as "partial 16S ribosomal RNA". It matches the Rfam family "Bacterial small subunit ribosomal RNA", at positions 338 to 795 of the family's 1533-position model. The record is from RNAcentral.
CCUACGGGAGGCAGCAGUGAGGAAUAUUGGUCAAUGGACGAGAGUCUGAACCAGCCAAGUCGCGUGAAGGAUGACGGCCCUAUGGGUUGUAAACUUCUUUUAUAUGGGAAUAAAAUGUUCCACGUGUGGGAUUUCGUAUGUACCAUAUGAAUAAGGAUCGGCUAACUCCGUGCCAGCAGCCGCGGUAAUACGGAGGAUCCGAGCGUUAUCCGGAUUUAUUGGGUUUAAAGGGAGCGUAGGUGGAAUGUUAAGUCAGUUGUGAAAGUUUGCGGCUCAACCGUAAAAUUGCAGUUGAAACUGGCAGUCUUGAGUACAGUAGAGGUGUGCGGAAUGCGUGGUGUAGCGGUGAAAUGCUUAGAUAUCACGAAGAACUCCGAUUGCGAAGGCAGCUCACUGGACUGCAACUGACGCUGAGGCUCGAAAGCGUGGGUAUCAAACAGGAUUAGAUACCCCUGUAGUC